UACAGAGGGUGCGAGCGUUGUUCGGAAUUAUUGGGCGUAAAGAGCUCGUAGGCGGUCUGUCGCGUCGGAUGUGAAAACUCGGGGCUCAACCCCGAGCCUGCAUUCGAUACGGGCAGACUAGAGUUCGGUAGGGGAGACUGGAAUUCCUGGUGCAGCGGUGAAAUGCGCAGAUAUCAGGAGGAACACCGGUGGCGAAGGCGGGUCUCUGGGCCGAUACUGACGCUGAGGAGCGAAAGCGUGGGGAGCGAACAGG
RNAcentral lists this ribosomal RNA (253 nucleotides) under uncultured bacterium. Its description in RNAcentral is "partial 16S ribosomal RNA". It matches the Rfam family "Bacterial small subunit ribosomal RNA", at positions 524 to 776 of the family's 1533-position model. The record is from RNAcentral.